AGGGGGGUCGAAUGAGACAGGAAAUAGUCACCACUGCCACGAGUUGACCAUGCUUUCACUAUGCGCAUUCACAAGGGAAGGACCUGUGUUCCACCGGUCAUUUGAAGUCAUUCUAAUUCUCUGGAUGGAACGUUAUUCAAGAUGUAUGUAAACAACAUUCUAAAGAUUGAUUCAGUACAUGGUUUGACAUGUUUCUACUUACUGUUACGGAACUUUUGGACAUUUCGUCACGUUAUAGUGGACGCGCUUUGUGACUUUGGAAUUGUUUACCAAACGCGCUAACCAAAGUAGCUAAUUGGACAUAAAUAACGGACAUUAUUGAACAAAUCAAGCAUUUAUUGUGGACCUGGGAUUCCUAGGACUGCAUUCUGAUGAAGUUCAUCAAAGGAGUAUAAACCCUCUUCCAGAGAUCUCCAUCCGUCUUCAGGUGGCGAAUCAAGUGCUUUAGGAGAUUGCUGCCCAAGAUGAGGUCAUCACUCUGGCCUUCAACCACCAGUGUAGGCACAGCAACUCUACAUCCGUACACCUCCAUCUCCAGCUCACAUACUCCCAAAGGCCUCGUCUUCAACCCACCACAACCAACCAAGACUACCUCUGUAGGACUCAAUGAUGGACUUUCAACACUCCUGCAUGCAACAGUUCAGGCCUACUAGUUUUCCGGGAGCUGAGCAGUGACUACUGUAGGGACUCCACCAGCUGUGCUCAGAGCUGCGGCCUUGGGGCACUGAGAGCGUGCGUGGCCAGCUACAUGACAAAGAAAGCAGAGGUGAUUGGCCCUGCAGUGAAAGAGAGAUGCGGGACUAUUGUGGAUCCUCUGGGGAGCCUCAACAACCUCAUGAUGCUGACGAGGCAGAGAAGAGUCUCUCCAGAUCAGAAC
This is a long non-coding RNA of Oncorhynchus tshawytscha (Chinook salmon), 877 nucleotides long. The record is from Ensembl. NCBI's taxonomy places the organism in Eukaryota, Metazoa, Chordata, Actinopteri, Salmoniformes, Salmonidae.